UCGCUAAAGGGUGCCACGGGAGGCCACGCCGAAAAACAAACCCAUUUCUAAGGUUGACCUCGGAUCAGGUAGGGAUACCCGCUGAACUUAAGCAUAUCAAUAAGCGGAGGA
RNAcentral lists this ribosomal RNA (111 nucleotides) under uncultured fungus. Its description in RNAcentral is "partial 28S ribosomal RNA". The stretch from base 55 to 111 matches the Rfam family "Eukaryotic large subunit ribosomal RNA", at positions 1 to 57 of the family's 3401-position model. The record is from RNAcentral. Lineage: Eukaryota; Fungi.